AUUGAACGCCGGCGGCAGGCUUAACACAUGCAAGUCGAGCGGGGAGAUGGUGCUUGCACUAUCACUUAGCGGCGGACGGGUGAGUAAUGCUUAGGAAUCUGCCUAUUAGUGGGGGACAACAUCUCGAAAGGGAUGCUAAUACCGCAUACGUACUACGGGAGAAAGCAGGGGAUCACUUGUGACCUUGCGCUAUUAGAUGAGCCUAAGUCGGAUUAGCUAGUUGGUGGGGGAAAGGCCUACCAAGGCGACGAUCUGUAGCGGGUCUGAGAGGAUGAUCCGCCACACUGGGACUGAGACACGGCCCAGACUCCUACGGGAGGCAGCAGUGGGGAAUAUUGGACAAUGGGGGGGACCCUGAUCCAGCCAUGCCGCGUGUGUGAAGAAGGCCUUAUGGUUGUAAAGCACUUUAAGCGAGGAGGAGGCUCUUUUGGUUAAUACCCAAGAUGAGUGGACGUUACUCGCAGAAUAAGCACCGGCUAACUCUGUGCCAGCAGCCGCCGCUG
This 503-nucleotide ribosomal RNA is filed under the name uncultured bacterium. Its description in RNAcentral is "partial 16S ribosomal RNA". It matches the Rfam family "Bacterial small subunit ribosomal RNA", at positions 30 to 523 of the family's 1533-position model. The record is from RNAcentral.